Molecule: transfer RNA, 72 nt
Filed under: Chelonia mydas (Green sea turtle)
Lineage: Eukaryota; Metazoa; Chordata; Testudines; Cheloniidae
Rfam family: tRNA
About the family: Transfer RNA (tRNA) molecules are approximately 80 nucleotides in length.
Source: Rfam by way of RNAcentral
CGCAGUGUGGCCCAGUGGGUAGGGCACCAGCCUAGCAAUCAGGAGACCUGGCAUCUAGUCCCAACUCUGCUG